This 256-nucleotide ribosomal RNA is filed under the name uncultured bacterium. RNAcentral's name for it is "partial 16S ribosomal RNA". It matches the Rfam family "Bacterial small subunit ribosomal RNA", at positions 524 to 776 of the family's 1533-position model. The record is from RNAcentral.
GACGUAGGUGGCGAACGUUAUCCGGAAUUAUUGGGCGUAAAGGGUGCGCAGAUGACCUAGUAAGUUAGCGGUGGGAAAUCGAGGCCCAACCUCGUGGAAGCCGGUAAUACUAUUAGGAUUGAGUUCAGGAGAGGUUAACGGAAUUUCAUGUGGAGCGGUAAAAUGUGUAGAUAUAUGAAAGAACACCAAUAACGGCGAAGGCAGUUAACUAUUCUGUUACUGACAUUGAGGCACGAAAGCGUGGGGAGCAAAACGG